RNAcentral lists this ribosomal RNA (910 nucleotides) under uncultured bacterium. Its description in RNAcentral is "bacterial SSU rRNA". It matches the Rfam family "Bacterial small subunit ribosomal RNA", at positions 27 to 993 of the family's 1533-position model. The record is from RNAcentral.
GAACGAACGCUGGCGGCAGGCCUAAAACAUGCAAGUCGAACGAACCUUCGGGUUAGUGGCGCACGGGUGCGUAACGCGUGGGAAUGUGCCUCUGGGUGCGGAACAACGUCGGGAAACUGACGCUAAUACCGCAUAAUAUCUACGGAUCAAAGAUUUAUCGCCCAGAGAUCAGCCCGCGUUAGAUUAGGUAGUUGGUAGGGUAAUGGCCUACCAAGCCGACGAUCUAUAGCUGGUCUGAGAGGAUGAUCAGCCACACUGGAACUGAGACACGGUCCAGACUCCCACGGGAGGCAGCAGUUAGGAAUAUUGGACAACGGGGGCAACCCUGAUCCAGCCAUGCCGCGUGUGUGAAGAAGGCCUUAGGGUUGUAAAGCACUUUCGUCUGUGAAGAUAAUGACAGUAGCAGAAGAAGAAGCUCCGGCUAAAUUCGUGCCAGCAGCCGCGGUAAUACGAAUGGAGCGAGCGUUGUUCGGAAUCACUGGGCGUAAAGGGUGCGCAGGCGGUCGUGAAAGUUAGAAGUGAAAUCCCAGGGCUUAACCUUGGAAUGGCUUUUAAAACUCCACGACUAGAGUACUGGAGAGGUUGGCGGAAUUCCGAGUGUAGAGGUGAAAUUCGCAGAUAUUCGGAGGAACACCAAUGGCGUANGCAGCCAACUGGACAGUAACUGACGCUCAUGCACGAAAGCGUGGGGAUCAAACAGGAUUAGAUACCCUGGUAGUCCACGCCCUAAACNAUGUGUGCUAGUUGUCGGGACCUUUNNNUUCGGUGACGCAGCUAACGCUUUAAGCACACCGCCUGGGGAGUACGGUCGCAGAUUAAAACUNNAAGGAAUUGACGGNACCCNCANANCGGUGGAGCAUGUUGUUNANUCGANGCACGCNAGAACCNUACCUACACUUGACAUGCCNUA